AGAACGUAGCGAAAUGCGAUACUUGGUGUGAAUUGCAGAAUCCCGUGAACCAUCGAGUUUUUGAACGCAAGUUGCGCCCGAGGCCACCCGGCCGAGGGCACGCCUGCCUGGGCGUCACGCCUCGCGUCGCUCCGCCUACCUCGCCCUGAGCACU
This 154-nucleotide ribosomal RNA is filed under the name Aloe purpurea. Its description in RNAcentral is "5.8S ribosomal RNA". The stretch from base 1 to 117 matches the Rfam family "5.8S ribosomal RNA", at positions 40 to 154 of the family's 154-position model. From Rfam's summary of the family: 5.8S ribosomal RNA (5.8S rRNA) is a component of the large subunit of the eukaryotic ribosome. The record is from RNAcentral. Lineage: Eukaryota; Viridiplantae; Streptophyta; Magnoliopsida; Asparagales; Asphodelaceae.